AUAUUUCUUACCUCUUCGUUUUUUCUUCACUCAUAUUUUUCCGUGUUUUGGUUUCUUCUGGGCCCAAAUAUUUGUCGUAAUACCUUCCUCUUGAAUCUUGCUAGGUUCUACUCGUCUGUUCUUGUUGUAAUCCAGGUUUCACAGGCAUAUAGCGCUAUUAGACAUAUCAACAUAUCAUUACUUUGUAUAAAGUUAGUUUAAAUCAAAUUGAUACCGGUAUAGAUUUUAAUAUUGUCUUUAAUCUGAAGAAGCACUUUUUAGCUGAGUUUAAUAUAUUUUAUAUAUUUCCUUGUAGUUAUUGCUCAACAUGUUCAAUUCCACUCCUAAAUAUUUGAAGUUUUCGACCCAUUCGAAAUCCAUAUCCCUGACUACCAAACUACUAUAUCAAUUAUUUUUUUGUGACAGUAUUAUUUAUUUUGUUUUUUCUUCAUUUAUAGUUACGUCUAUUUGUUUACUUUCAUUCAUAAAGGCUUUUACCGUACACUGAAGGUUAUUCUCAGAUUUGGACAGUAAUACUAUGUUAUCAGCAUAUGCUAUUAGUUUGAUAGUUUUAGAUUCUUAUAGUUUGAAUCCUAUGCUAAUAUUUAAUGUCUUUCAAACCACUUCCUCCAACACAAUGUGGAAAAGAUUGUGUUGGAGAGAAAGCAUCUCCCUGUUUCAAUCUUGUGUUAAUCCUGAAUUUCUUAUUAUUGCCUGAAACAAUUUCAUUACAAUAAAUUAAAUUUAAAAAUUGUUUUUUUUUUUCUAUAAUGUUUAUUUAAACAAGUCUUAUAACUUUUUAUUUUUUUGAUUAUUACAUAUUUAUUUUAAUAAAUAUUUAAUUUGACCACUGUUUAUACAAAAUAGUUUGAUUUUUUCUCCCUAUCCAUUCCAAUAAAUACAUUUAGCAUUAAUAAUGAUUCUCAGUGAUGUAAUCACAAACAAUGAUUAGUAUUAUUAUUAACCCCCAAAAACAAUGUGAAUACUAAUAUUGGUACUUAAAAUGUAUAGAACUAAUAUGAUUAAAUCAUUAAGGC
Molecule: non-coding RNA, 1016 nt
Organism: Cinara cedri
Lineage: Eukaryota; Metazoa; Arthropoda; Insecta; Hemiptera; Aphididae
Source: the annotation of a GenBank genome assembly